CCCAGCGCUGAAGCGCUGGGCUAGGUUCGGCCGUUCCUCCGGAACC
This 46-nucleotide small RNA is filed under the name Candidatus Sulfotelmatobacter kueseliae. RNAcentral describes it as "Acido-Lenti-1". It matches the Rfam family "Acido-Lenti-1 RNA". The record is from RNAcentral. Lineage: Bacteria; Pseudomonadati; Acidobacteriota; Terriglobia; Terriglobales; Candidatus Korobacteraceae.